Molecule: long non-coding RNA, 141 nt
Organism: Octodon degus (degu)
Lineage: Eukaryota; Metazoa; Chordata; Mammalia; Rodentia; Octodontidae
Exons: 3
Source: RefSeq, a predicted model, not a curated record
GUCUUUAAGUUGGGCAUGGUGGUACAGGCCUGUAAUCCCAGCGCAGGGUGGGUAAGGCAGGAGAAUGGUUGUGAGUUCGAAGCUAGCCUGAGCUACAAAGUGAGCUCAAGGUCCCCCUGAACUGAAUAGUGAGAUCCUAUC